GGUAUCCAGUUUGCUUCUGGGUCCAAUUCAAAUGCUGGUUGCAAAUUUUAAAGCUCUUCAAGGCAUGGAACCAGGCUUCUGAGGGAAUGCUUCUCCCUGAUUAUUUCAGUUCGACUCAUUAGGUCUGACAGAGAAGGGAUGCUGCAGAUACCAUCAGCGAGGGAUCUACAUUUGGUGGGUCCCAGGAGACAGGCCUUCUCUGCUGUAGCACAUAAACUUCUUCAGUCUAAGAAAGCCAGCAAGUCUGCAGACUUGUAUCUAGUAGAAGGGAAGAAGGGAGGAAAGAAGUAAGGAAGGGUAAAAGAGGAAGUAAAGAAGAUGAAGAUUGAGAUCCAUGCUGAUGUGCCAAUAAAUGGAGAGCUGCCAGUUA
Molecule: long non-coding RNA, 370 nt
Organism: Pantherophis guttatus
Lineage: Eukaryota; Metazoa; Chordata; Lepidosauria; Squamata; Colubridae
Source: RefSeq, a predicted model, not a curated record